AACGAACGCUGGCGGCAUGCCUAACACAUGCAAGUCGAACGAGACCUUCGGGUCUAGUGGCGCACGGGUGCGUAACGCGUGGGAACCUGCCCUUAGGUUCGGAAUAACUCCCCGAAAGGGGUGCUAAUACCGGAUAAUGUCUUCGGACCAAAGAUUUAUCGCCUUUGGAUGGGCCCGCGUUGGAUUAGCUAGUUGGUAGGGUAAAAGCCUACCAAGGCGACGAUCCAUAGCCGGUCUGAGAGGAUGAUCAGCCACACUGGGACUGAGACACGGCCCAGACUCCUACGGGAGGCAGCAGUGGGGAAUAUUGGACAAUGGGCGAAAGCCUGAUCCAGCAAUGCCGCGUGAGUGAUGAAGGCCUUAGGGUUGUAAAGCUCUUUUACCCGGGAUGAUAAUGACAGUACCGGGAGAAUAAACUCCGGCUAACUCCGUG
This 433-nucleotide ribosomal RNA is filed under the name uncultured bacterium. RNAcentral describes it as "partial 16S ribosomal RNA". It matches the Rfam family "Bacterial small subunit ribosomal RNA", at positions 29 to 507 of the family's 1533-position model. The record is from RNAcentral.